This 75-nucleotide transfer RNA is filed under the name Candidatus Nomurabacteria bacterium CG2_30_43_9. Its description in RNAcentral is "tRNA-Cys". It matches the Rfam family "tRNA". Rfam says of the family: Transfer RNA (tRNA) molecules are approximately 80 nucleotides in length. Their secondary structure includes four short double-helical elements and three loops (D, anti-codon, and T loops). RNAcentral also lists the same sequence under 8 other names. Lineage: Bacteria; Candidatus Nomuraibacteriota. The record is from RNAcentral.
GGCGUGGUAGCCAAGUGGUAAGGCAGUGGUUUGCAAAACCUCUACACGCGAGUUCGAUUCUCGCCCACGCCUCAA